Molecule: transfer RNA, 143 nt
Filed under: Escherichia coli
Lineage: Bacteria; Pseudomonadati; Pseudomonadota; Gammaproteobacteria; Enterobacterales; Enterobacteriaceae
Also listed under: 4 other names
Description: tRNA-OTHER
Source: RNAcentral
GUCGUUCUCAAAAUCGGUGGAGCUGCAUGACAAAGUCAUCGGGCAUUAUCUGAACAUAAAACACUAUCAAUAAGUUGGAGUCAUUACCUGGAAAGUGUGUAUACGGCAACGUAUCGGGGGUUCGAAUCCCCCCCUCACCGCCA